GACGAACGCUGGCGGCGUGCUCAACACAUGCAAGUCGAGCGGUAAGGCCCUUUCGGGGGUACACGAGCGGCGAACGGGUGAGUAACACGUGGGUGACCUGCCCUCAGCUCUGGGAUAAGCCUGGGAAACCGGGUCUAAUACUGGAUAUGACUCCAUGACGCAUGUUGUGGGGUGGAAAGCCUUGUGCGGCUGAGGAUGGGCCCGCGGCCUAUCAGCUUGUUGGUGGGGUGAUGGCCUACCAAGGCGACGACGGGUAGCCGGCCUGAGAGGGCGACCGGCCACACUGGGACUGAGACACGGCCCAGACUCCUACGGGAGGCAGCAGUGGGGAAUCUUGCGCAAUGGGCGAAAGCCUGACGCAGCGACGCCGCGUGAGGGAUGACGGCCU
Molecule: ribosomal RNA, 388 nt
Filed under: uncultured bacterium
Lineage: Bacteria
Description: bacterial SSU rRNA
Rfam family: Bacterial small subunit ribosomal RNA
Source: RNAcentral